Molecule: ribosomal RNA, 497 nt
Filed under: uncultured bacterium
Lineage: Bacteria
Description: partial 16S ribosomal RNA
Rfam family: Bacterial small subunit ribosomal RNA
Source: RNAcentral
GAUGAACGCUGGCGGCGUGCCUAAUACAUGCAAGUCGAGCGAACGGACGAGAAGCUUGCUUCUCUGAUGUUAGCGGCGGACGGGUGAGUAACACGUGGAUAACCUACCUAUAAGACUGGGAUAACUUCGGGAAACCGGAGCUAAUACCGGAUGAUAUUUUGAACCGCAUGGUUCAAAAGUGAAAGACGGUCUUGCUGUCACUUAUAGAUGGAUCCGCGCUGCAUUAGCUAGUUGGUAAGGUAACGGCUUACCAAGGCAACGAUGCAUAGCCGACCUGAGAGGGGGAUCGGCCACACUGGAACUGAGACACGGUCAAGACUCCUACGGGAGGCAGCAGUAGGGAAUCUUCCGCAAUGGGCGAAAGCCUGACGGAGCAACGCCGCGUGAGUGAUGAAGGUCUUCGGAUCGUAAAACUCUGUUAUUAGGGAAGAACAUAUGUGUAAGUAACUGUGCACAUCUUGACGGUACCUAAUCAGAAAGCCACGGCUAACUACGUG